Molecule: ribosomal RNA, 441 nt
Filed under: Listeria monocytogenes
Lineage: Bacteria; Bacillati; Bacillota; Bacilli; Caryophanales; Listeriaceae
Description: partial 23S ribosomal RNA
Rfam family: Bacterial large subunit ribosomal RNA
Source: RNAcentral
ACAACCAGGAUGUUGGCUUAGAAGCAGCCACCAUUGAAAGAGUGCGUAAUAGCUCACUGGUCGAGUGACCCCGCGCCGAAAAUGUACCGGGGCUAAACAUAUUACCGAAACUGUGGAUGAACCUCUUUAGAGGUUCGUGGUAGGAGAGCGUUCUAAGGGCGGUGAAGUCAGACCGGAAGGACUGGUGGAGCGCUUAGAAGUGAGAAUGCCGGUAUGAGUAGCGAAAGAAGGGUGAGAAUCCCUUCCACCGAAUAUCUAAGGUUUCCUGAGGAAGGCUCGUCCGCUCAGGGUUAGUCGGGACCUAAGCCGAGGCCGAUAGGCGUAGGCGAUGGACAACAGGUAGAGAUUCCUGUACCAGUGCUAAUUGUUUAACCGAUGGGGUGACACAGAAGGAUAGGGAAUCGCACGAAUGGAAAUGUGCGUCCAAGCAGUGAGUGUGAG